UACGUAGGGGGCAAGCGUUGUCCGGAUUCAUUGGGCGUAAAGCGCAUGCAGGCGGCUUGGUAAGUCAUCGGUGAAAUCCCUCGGCUCAACCGGGGGGGGUCCGGCGAAACUGCCAGGCUUGAGGUCGGGAGGGGGAAGCGGAAUUCCGGGUGUAGUGGUGGAAUGCGUAGAUAUCCGGAGGAACACCAGUGGCGAAGGCGGCUUCCUGGCCCGAUUCUGACGCUGAUAUGCGAAAGCGUGGGGAGCGAGCCGG
Molecule: ribosomal RNA, 253 nt
Filed under: uncultured bacterium
Lineage: Bacteria
Description: partial 16S ribosomal RNA
Rfam family: Bacterial small subunit ribosomal RNA
Source: RNAcentral